AGUUUCAGAAGAUGAGGAUGAUGAUGUUGUUGUUAGGGCGCAACCCAAUAUGUCACCUCUUUCUGACACAGUGGUAGGUACAUCUCAGGAAUUUAGGUGUUCAGCAUGUCAGUGCUUACAGUACAGCUAUAAUGCAGUAAAAUCUCCUGGACUUGUCAAUCAUUAGAAAUAGCAAAGCAUAUACAGUGUUAAGGCUGUGAAUGAGAAGGUUAUAAUGUUUACACCUCACAGCUUUGGUCAAGUCCCGAAAGAAGUACACCAGAGCAUAGACAGUGGUCAGCCACAACAUCUGCGACAUCAACAUCCCAGUCAUCUAAUGAGCAAGCCAAGAGUGCAACAAGACCCAAACAUACAAC
Megalobrama amblycephala (Wuchang bream) is the source of this 356-nucleotide long non-coding RNA. RefSeq lists it as uncharacterized. The transcript is spliced from 3 exons. NCBI's taxonomy places the organism in Eukaryota, Metazoa, Chordata, Actinopteri, Cypriniformes, Xenocyprididae. The record is from RefSeq and is a predicted model, not a curated record.